GACGAACGCUGGCGGCGUGCUUAACACAUGCAAGUCGAACGGAAAGGCCCUGCUUUUGUGGGGUGCUCGAGUGGCGAACGGGUGAGUAACACGUGAGUAACCUGCCCUUGACUUUGGGAUAACUUCAGGAAACUGGGGCUAAUACCGGAUAGGAGCUCCUGCUGCAUGGUGGGGGUUGGAAAGUUUCGGCGGUUGGGGAUGGACUCGCGGCUUAUCAGCUUGUUGGUGGGGUAGUGGCUUACCAAGGCUUUGACGGGUAGCCGGCCUGAGAGGGUGGCCGGCCACAUUGGGACUGAGAUACGGCCCAGACUCCUACGGGAGGCAGCAGUGGGGAAUAUUGCACAAUGGGCGGAAGCCUGAUGCAGCAACGCCGCGUGCGGGAUGACGGCCUUCGGGUUGUAAACCGCUUUCGCCUGUGACGAAGCGUGAGUGACGGUAAUGGGUAAAGAAGCACCGGCUAACUAC
Molecule: ribosomal RNA, 465 nt
Filed under: uncultured bacterium
Lineage: Bacteria
Description: partial 16S ribosomal RNA
Rfam family: Bacterial small subunit ribosomal RNA
Source: RNAcentral